RNAcentral lists this ribosomal RNA (558 nucleotides) under uncultured fungus. RNAcentral describes it as "SSU rRNA". It matches the Rfam family "Eukaryotic small subunit ribosomal RNA", at positions 194 to 756 of the family's 1831-position model. Lineage: Eukaryota; Fungi. The record is from RNAcentral.
GGAAGGGGUGUAUUUAUUAGAUAAAAAACCAAUGCCCUUCGGGGCUCUUUGGUGAUUCAUGAUAACUUAACGGAUCGCAUGGCCUUGCGCCGGCGACGGUUCAUUCAAAUUUCUGCCCUAUCAACUUUCGAUGGUAAGGUAUUGGCUUACCAUGGUUUCAACGGGUAACGGGGAAUUAGGGUUCGAUUCCGGAGAGGGAGCCUGAGAAACGGCUACCACAUCCAAGGAAGGCAGCAGGCGCGCAAAUUACCCAAUCCCGACACGGGGAGGUAGUGACAAUAAAUACUGAUACAGGGCUCUUUUGGGUCUUGUAAUCGGAAUGAGUACAAUUUAAACCCCUUAACGAGGAACAAUUGGAGGGCAAGUCUGGUGCCAGCAGCCGCGGUAAUUCCAGCUCCAAUAGCGUAUAUUAAAGUUGUUGCAGUUAAAAAGCUCGUAGUUGAACCUUGGGCCUGGCUGGCCGGUCCGCCUCACCGCGUGUACUGGUCCGGCCGGGCCUUUCCUUCUGGAGAGCCCCAUGCCCUUCACUGGGCGUGCGGGGGAACCAGGACUUUUACA